This is a non-coding RNA of Acanthosepion pharaonis, 98 nucleotides long. NCBI's taxonomy places the organism in Eukaryota, Metazoa, Mollusca, Cephalopoda, Sepiida, Sepiidae. The record is from the annotation of a GenBank genome assembly.
UUAAAUCACAGAUUCUCAUAUGAUCAUCGAAGUUAAGCAAUGUCAAGCCUGGUCAGUACCUAGAUGGGUGACUGCUUUGGAAUACCAGGUGCUGUAAG